ACGUUCGUUAACACGACUUAAUAUUUACAGUUGGUCGCCGUUAUCCGAUACACGGAACAUCGUACCAUGUCAAUACGCAUAUACCGACUUACCAGGCCUCACAAUAGGAUUACCUACAGUACACCGUAAUCUCCUAACAUCAGGAAACACGCAGUCUGGAGUUCGUGUAGAUGUCGUCUGCUUUUGUCUGAACACUUUCUGCCCGGCAUUCGUGCUUGCUGUGACCAGACAGGUUUUACUGACUAAACGGUUUAACGAGUGUCCUGGCCUGGUCUCGUGUGAAAAAGACGAGCACCUUUAAGUAAUACCGGAAUCCUACGAUCUUCACAUUACUGAAAGCAUUCCUGUCAACGAUAAUCGGAUUGGGCUAAUUAGCUGGAUUCACCGUCUUUCAUUUUCUGGGUUGAUGUUUUUUCUUUGUUUCAUGACCACCUGCCGUGUGUCGGAUUCAAAAGCCAUUAUUCUUAGGAAGAUCACAGAGAUGGGAUGAAGAAUUUGCUCAUUUUACCAAAUACCCGGACAUCACACCGUGAAGAACCUCCUCUACAUUCUCAAGCGCCAUUGCCGGAAACAGUCCACCACAACACCUCCUCUCACAACUCCAAGCCUCUCUAUCUCUUUUGAGUUAGUUAGUCUUUUGGGGGUUUAACGCCGUUUCUUUGAAUAACGAACACAGCCAAUAAUCAUAAACAGGGCAAUUCAGGGAUUCGAACCUCUGAUCAUUGGAUUCUGGAACAUCAAAGGGACGUAACUCUACACAGAUAAUCGCAGCGACUAAAACGUCAGGGCCAGCGGCUUCCAGUCUUAAGGACACUUAGGGUUUACUUACAUGAGUAUCCUUUCACCAUGGGAUACACAGAGGCGGUAAAAUCACGACCUGAAGUUUCAUUUGCAGUUAAUGUCAGGUCAACGUAUCAAGUCCAGGUCAUGUUUAUGUUGACACGUGACCUGAACAGGACGAAAGCCCUCGACACUUAAGUCGUGAUUGAUCUCAAUUUACAACAUUCUGGUGACAUGUCCAAAAUUGACUCAGUGUCCGAAAUUGACCCAGUGUCCAUGGUGUCUUGUUUAACAUUUGGAUGACCACCGUCCGGUCAAAGAUGGACGUGACCACGCAACUGACCAUCAAGAUAGCAGCAAAUUUGACAACUCGUCUCUCACCAACUCGUGAUGCUGGAGCUCCCCAUUGUCACGUCCGACCUUCACCUUACGAUCACACUGUCUUCAAGCACGUGACAGGACUAGUUUAACAUCAUUACAAAAUAAGAUUCAUUUAAUAUUUUCAUAUGCUGUGACAAACGAACGUAUAGGGUUUGUCUAAUAAGGGUCUAUCGUAGUCAGUCCACACAGCCAGUUAUCGUCGAUAUGGCAUCUGAACAUGUUCCCGAAAAAUUCGAAAUUAGACAGUUGUAGCAGUAAAAUAAUUUGGCGGGAGUACGUUACUCUCAUUUCAUUCUGUGGUUGCUGAUGUUGUUGCAGUAAGGGGUGGUGUACACGACGUUGGGGUAGGGGUGGGUUGGUAGAGACGUAAUAAAUUAUAAAACUAUUAAGACGAUUGUUAUGUUCUUCAGUAAAGCUUAUUAUAAAGAGACCGAGCUCCGUCUUACGAAUUUGCCCUUUGUGCGCACAACUGUCAUCGGAAACGUACGGAAAUUUACGAGGCUCUCCGACGGAGUUGGUUGCCACCCCCCUGUGAUUCAAAGCCGACAUAUUUAUCAAGCGGAUUUAUUCAUACUGGAAUGACACUUGAAUGAUAGAGUGGAAAAAUGACAUUCAUUCUUUGUCUCUCUACCUCAUUACGGCGGGCUAUAAAUAAUGUUUGUAUCUUUGACAAAGAUUUGAUGGUCAUGUCGUCAUUAUCAUGGAUGUUCAAAUAGCAAUAAAAAGAUACAUGCUAUA
Haliotis rubra (blacklip abalone) is the source of this 1899-nucleotide long non-coding RNA. RefSeq lists it as uncharacterized. The transcript has 2 exons. The record is from RefSeq and is a predicted model, not a curated record. NCBI's taxonomy places the organism in Eukaryota, Metazoa, Mollusca, Gastropoda, Lepetellida, Haliotidae.